RNAcentral lists this ribosomal RNA (1465 nucleotides) under uncultured prokaryote. RNAcentral's name for it is "partial 16S ribosomal RNA". It matches the Rfam family "Bacterial small subunit ribosomal RNA". The record is from RNAcentral.
AUUGAACGCUGGCGGUAUGCUUAACACAUGCAAGUCGAACGGUAACAGGCUCUAGCUUGCUAGAGUGCUGACGAGUGGCGGACGGGUGAGUAACGCGUAGGAAUCUGCACUGUAGUGGGGGAUAACCUGGGGAAACUCCGGCUAAUACCGCAUGUUUUCUUCGGAGUAAAGCUGGGGAUCUUCGGACCUCGCGCUAUUAGAUGAGUCUGCGUCAGAUUAGCUUGUUGGUGGGGUAAUGGCCUACCAAGGCGACGAUCUAUAGCUGUUCUGAGAGGAAGAUCAGCCACACUGGGACUGAGACACGGCCCAGACUCCUACGUGAGGCAGCAGUGGGGAAUAUUGCACAAUGGGGGCAACCCUGAUGCAGCAAUGCCGCGUGUGUGAAGAAGGCUCUAGGGUUGUAAAGCACUUUCAAUUGGGAGGAAGCUUAAUUUGUUAAUAGCUCAUGCAGAUGUCGUUACCUACAGAAGAAGCACCGGCUAACUCCGUGCCAGCAGCCGCGGUAAUACAGAGGGUGCGAGCGUUAAUCGGAAUUACUGGGCGUAAAGCGUGCGUAGGUGGAUACUUAAGUCAGAUGUGAAAGCCCUGGGCUUAACCUGGGAACUGCAUUUGAUACUGGGUAUCUAGAGUAUGGUAGAGGAAAGUGGAAUUCCCGGUGUAGCGGUGAAAUGCCUAGAUAUCGGGAGGAACAUCAGUGGCGAAGGCGACUUGCUGGACUAAUACUGACACUGAGGUGCGAAAGCGUGGGGAGCAAACAGGAUUAGAUCCCCUGGUAGUCCACGCCGUAAACGAUGAGAACUAGAUGGAGGAAUUUAUAAUCCUUUAGUAUCGUAGCUAACGCGAUAAGUUCUCCGCCUGGGGAGUACGGCCGCAAGGUUAAAACUCAAAUGAAUUGACGGGGGCCCGCACAAGCGGUGGAGCAUGUGGUUUAAUUCGAUGCAACGCGAAGAACCUUACCUGGCCUUGACAUCCUUGGGAUUUCGCAGAAACGUGAAAGUGCCUUCGGGAGCCAAGAGACAGGUGCUGCAUGGCUGUCGUCAGCUCGUGUCGUGAGAUGUUGGGUUAAGUCCUAUAACGAGCGCAACCCCUGUCGUUAGUUGCCAGCAAGUAAAGUUGGGGACUCUAGGGAGACUGCCGGUGAUAAACCGGAGGAAGGUGGGGAUGAUGUCAAGUCAUCAUGGCCCUUAUGAGUAGGGCUACACACGUGCUACAAUGGUUGGUACAAAAGGAAGCCAAGUCGCGAGGCGGAGCAAAUCCUCUAAAGCCAAUCGUAGUCCGGAUUGGAGUCUGCAACUCGACUCCAUGAAGUUGGAAUCGCUAGUAAUCGUGGAUCAGCAUGCCACGGUGAAUACGUUCCCGGGCCUUGUACACACCGCCCGUCACACCAUGGGAGUGGGUUGUACCAGAAGUAGGUAGGCUAACCGCAAGGGGGCCGCUUACCACGGUAUGGUUCAUGACUGGGGUG